Molecule: long non-coding RNA, 428 nt
Filed under: Homo sapiens (human)
Lineage: Eukaryota; Metazoa; Chordata; Mammalia; Primates; Hominidae
Description: HSALNT0337106
Source: RNAcentral
AACCCACUCGAGUCUCCUUCCACGGUGUGGAACCUUUGUUCUUUUGCUGUUUGCAGUGAGUCUUGCUACUGCUCACUCUUUGGGUCCAUGCUGCUUUUAUGAGCUGUAACACUCACCACGAAGGUCUGCAGCUUCACUCAUGAGCCAGCAAGACCACGAGCCCACAGGGAGGACCGAACAACUCCAGACGCGCCUCCUUAAGAGCUGUUAACACUCACCGCCAAGGUCUGCAGCUUCACUCCUGAGCCAGCGAGACCACGAACCCAUCAGAAGGAAGAAACUCUGAACACAUCUGAACAUCAGAAGGGACAAACUCCAGAGGCGCCACCUUAAGAGCUGUAACACUCACCGCGAGGGUCUGCGGCUUCAUUCUUGAAGUCAGUGAGACCGAGAACCCACCAAUUCCGGACACAAUAGUAUAAAGCCCC